Molecule: ribosomal RNA, 253 nt
Filed under: uncultured bacterium
Lineage: Bacteria
Description: partial 16S ribosomal RNA
Rfam family: Bacterial small subunit ribosomal RNA
Source: RNAcentral
UACGUAGGGUGCGAGCGUUGUCCGGAAUUACUGGGCGUAAAGAGCUCGUAGGUGGUUUGUCGCGUUGUUCGUGAAAACCGGGGGCUUAACCCUCGGCGUGCGGGCGAUACGGGCAGACUUGAGUACUGCAGGGGAGACUGGAAUUCCUGGUGUAGCGGUGGAAUGCGCAGAUAUCAGGAGGAACACCGGUGGCGAAGGCGGGUCUCUGGGCAGUAACUGACGCUGAGGAGCGAAAGCGUGGGGAGCGAUCCGG